UUUAGAGAGCGGCGUACGGGUGCGUAACACGUGUGCAACUUACCUUUAUCAGGAGGAUAGCCUUUCGAAAGGAAGAUUAAUACUCCAUAAUAUAUUAGAUGGCAUCAUUUAGUAUUGAAAACUCCGGUGGAUAGAGAUGGGCACGCGCAAGAUUAGAUAGUUGGUGAGGUAACGGCUCACCAAGUCAUUGAUCUUUAGGGGUCCUGAGAGGGAGAUCCCCCACACUGGUACUGAGACACGGACCAGACUCCUACGGGAGGCAGCAGUGAGGAAUAUUGGACAAUGGGUGAGAGCCUGAUCCAGCCAUCCCGCGUGAAGGAUGACGGUCCUACGGAUUGUAAACUUCUUUUGUAUAGGGAUAAACCCAGAUACGUGUAUCUGGCUGAAGGUACUAUACGAAUAAGCACCGGCUAACUCCGUGCCAGCAGCCGCGGUAAUACGGAGGGUGCAAGCGUUAUCCGGAUUUAUUGGGUUUAAAGGGUCCGCAGGCGGGCCGAUAAGUCAGUGGUGAAAUCUCAUAGCUUAACUAUGAAACUGCCAUUGAUACUGUCGGUCUUGAGUAAAUUAGAGGUAGCUGGAAUAAGUAGUGUAGCGGUGAAAUGCAUAGAUAUUACUUAGAACACCAAUUGCGAAGGC
RNAcentral lists this ribosomal RNA (636 nucleotides) under uncultured Chryseobacterium sp. Its description in RNAcentral is "bacterial SSU rRNA". It matches the Rfam family "Bacterial small subunit ribosomal RNA", at positions 87 to 722 of the family's 1533-position model. Lineage: Bacteria; Pseudomonadati; Bacteroidota; Flavobacteriia; Flavobacteriales; Weeksellaceae. The record is from RNAcentral.